GCGUUGCCAUGGGAGCGGGGCGGGCCCGGGAGCGUCGCAGCGGGCGCCGAGCGGGCCGGGCCGGGCCGGGCCGAGCCUGGCCGGGCUGAGCCGGGAGCGGAGCCGGGCUGAGCGGAGCCGGGCCGCCCGCCGCCCCUGCAGGCGCUGCCCCCCGCCGCCAUGCUCAUCAAGGAGUACCACAUCGUGCUGCCCAUGAGCUUGGAUGAGUACCAAGUGGCCCAGCUCUACAUGAUCCAGAAGAAGAGCCGGGAGGAGUCGAGCGGCGAGGGCAGCGGCGUGGAGAUCUUGGCCAACCGGCCCUACAGCGACGGCCCCGGCGGCAGCGGCCAGUACACGCACAAGGUUUACCAUGUGGGCUCCCACAUCCCCAGCUGGUUCCGGGCGCUGCUCCCUAAGGCUGCACUGCAGGUGGAGGAGGAGUCCUGGAAUGCCUAUCCCUACACCCGCACCAGGUACACAUGUCCCUUCGUGGAGAAGUUCUCCAUCGAGAUCGAGACGUACUACCGGCCGGACGCGGGCCAGCAGACCAACAUCUUCAACCUGAGCGCUGCUGAGAAGAGGCAGAGGAUUUUGGACACCAUCGACAUCGUGCGUGACCCCAUCUCCCCUGGGGAAUACAAGCCCGAGGAGGACCCCAAGCUCUACCACUCGACCAAGACAGGCCGGGGCCCGCUGGGGGAUGACUGGCUGGAGUCCCCCAGCACCGGGCCCCUGAUGUGCGCCUACAAGCUCUGCAAGGUGGAGUUUCGCUACUGGGGGAUGCAGUCCAAAAUCGAGCAGUUCAUCCAUGAUGUGGGGCUGCGGAAGGUGAUGCUCCGUGCCCACCGCCAGGCCUGGUGCUGGCAGGACGAGUGGACGGACCUGACGAUGGAGGACAUCCGCCAGCUGGAGGACGAGACCGCUCAGAUGCUGGCACAGAAGAUGGGCAAGUGCAGUGGGGCCGAGGAACCCCCCAUGGCCGGGCCCAGCGCCGAGGGGCGGAUGGAGCCGCACCGUGCCAGCGGGCAGGAAGGGGCCGAGGCGCAGCAGGAGGCCGAUGUCUCCCCUGAUGAUACCUUCACCAAGCAGUGGUCCACCUCUUCCCGGUCUUCCUACUCUUCCCAGCAUGGAGGGGGGGUGUCUCCUCAGAGCCUGUCCGAGUGGCGGAUGCAGAACAUCGCCCGUGACUCCGAGAACAGCUCCGAGGAGGAGUUCUUCGAUGCCCACGAGGACCUGUCUGACAGCGACGAGGUCUUUGCCAAGGAGAUGACCAAGUGGAGCUCCAAUGACUUCUUGGACACGCUGGAGCGGCCGGUGGAGCUGGAUGAGGCGCUGGGGGAAGGCCCCAGCACUGCCAAGGUGGAUGGAGAAGGUUUGGGGACAUCCAGCUUCUCCGAGGGCAGCUCGUCGGACGGCACGGCGCCGGUGUGCCAGAUCCACGUCCUCUUCCUCAUCCUGCACAGCGGGAACAUCCUGGACCAGGGCUCGGGAGAGCCGGGCUCCAAGCAGGCGGACGUGCAGACCUUGGCGGCCACCUUCGAUGCUGUCACCCGCGUCCACUUCCCCGAGGCGCUGGGACACGUGGCGCUGCGCCUGGUGCCCUGUCCCCCCAUCUGUGCUGCUGCCUAUGCCCUCGUCUCCAGGUUGAGCCCCUACAGCCACGACACGGACAGGCUGUACAGCAGCCAGGACCACAUCCCUCUGGCAGCCCUCCCACUGCUGGCCACCUCCUCGGGGGGCUACCUGCACGCCUUGGCCACCGUCAUUGCUCGUGCCAACCAGGCCUACGGCACCUUCCUGCGCUCCAGGGAGGGAGCCGGCUUCUGCGGCCAGGUAGUGCUGCUGGGGGACUGUGUGGGGGGCAUCCUGGGCUUCGACGCGCUCUGCCAGACCCGGGUGGGCUCUGGGGGCAGCCGCAGCAGCAGCCGCCGCGGCAGCUUGAGCAUGGAGCCCAUCUCCCCGGAGCUGUGCGGCGGCCGGGACCCGCUGGCUGAUGGAGCAGAUGGAGCAGCAGGAUCAGACCCCGAGCCAGGGCCACAGUCGCUCUGCAGGGAGCAGGGAGAGAGCCACUGUCACAGCUCCUCGUGCAGCCUGCAGGCCAGCGAGGCCGCGCUGGAGCCGGAGGCAUCGCGGAGCAGCACCGUGGCACUGGAUGGGGCAGAGGGUGCCAGCACCCGCCUCGACUUUAAGGUAUCCGGCUUCUUCCUCUUUGGCUCCCCGCUGGGGCUGGUGCUCGCGCUACGCAAGACCGUCAUGCCUGCUCUGGAUGUGGCUCAGCUGCGUCCUGCCUGUGAGCAGAUCUACAACCUCUUCCACGCGGCCGACCCCUGCGCCUCCCGCCUGGAGCCCCUCUUGGCCAAGGCCUUCCACGCUGUCCCACCGCUCAGCGUGCCCCGCUACCAGAAGUACCCCCUGGGUGAUGGCACCUCGUCCCUGCUGGCGGAUACCCUGCAGAUGCACUCUGCCCUCUUCCUGCCCAAGGUGGACAUGGCCACCCCUCCUACCCCCACCAGCAGCUUCGGGGGCUUCUGGAAGAGCAGUGAGCCUGUAGAGCCCCCCGAUCCUGCUAGCACCAGUGAACUUGUCAAGGUCCUGGAGCGCUGGUGGGGCCGGAAGCGCAUCGACUACUUGCUGUACUGCCCCGAAGCCCUGACUGCCUUCCCCACCAUCACCCUGCCCCACCUCUUCCAUGCCAGCUACUGGGAAUCCUCCGACGUGGUGGCCUUCAUCCUGCGCCAGGUGAUGGAGAAGGAGGAGUCGCAGCCAGCAGAGAAUGAGGAGGGCUCCACCUACAGCCCUGCCAUCCCCCGGGAGAAGUGGCAGCGCCGGCGCACCCAGAUGAAGAUCCGGAACGUGACGGCCAACCACCGGGUCUGCGACGUGAUCGUGUGCGAGGGCAAAGCCCAGGUCCUCACCGGGCGCUUCAUGUACGGCCCCCUGGACGUGGUGACACUGACCGGGGAGAAGGUGGACAUCUACGUCAUGACGCAGCCGCUGUCGGGGAAGUGGAUGUACUAUGGCACCGAGGUGACGAGCGGCAGCGGGCGCCUGACCUUCACCAUCCCUCCAGACAGAGCUCUGGCCAUCGGCAUCUACCCCGUGCGCAUGGUGGUGAGGGGGGAUCACAGCUUCGCCGAGGCGUACCUGACCGUGGUGGCCCCUGGCACCGAGUCCAUCGUGUUCAGCAUCGAUGGCUCCUUCGCCGCCAGCGUCUCCAUCAUGGGCAAUGACCCCAAAGUGCGGGCAGGGGCUGUCGACGUCGUACGGACUGGGACUGUCCCUGCAUGGACUCCUGGCAGCAGCGUGUGUCCCCUCCCAGGCACUGGCAGGACUUGGGCUACAUGAUCAUCUACGUGACGGGGCGCCCCGACAUGCAGAAGCACCGCGUGGUGGCCUGGCUCUCCCAGCACAACUUCCCCUACGGCUCCGUGUCCUUCUGCGACGGGCUCACCCACGACCCCCUGCGCCAGAAAACCGCCUUCCUCCAGAGCCUGCGCACCGAGGCAGAGAUCAACAUCAUCGCUGGCUACGGCUCCACCAAGGACAUCUCCGUCUACAGCUCCCUGGGGCUCCCGCCAACGAACAUCUACAUCGUGGGACGGGCCAUCAAGAAGUUCAACAACCAGUGCCAGUUCGUGUCCGAGGGCUACGCAGCCCACCUUGCCCAGCUCGAGGCAGCAGCCCAGGCCCACUUGCCCAAGGGCCCCUCGCGGCCCACGCUGGGCAAAGGCACCUAUGGGUGCCUGGCGCCCGUCGACGUCCUCCGCAAGCAGAACCAGCUCCUGCGGUCGCGGGGCUCCAGCCAGGCCGAGUGGGACGGGGCAGGACCUUCAGCAGCAGCCCCAGGGCUGCCCAGGGCCAAGCCCCGCAGCGUCAGCCUCAAGCUGGAGGAUGAGGAGUGAGGGUGGCACAACCACUGUCCCUCCUCCAGCACCACGCUUCGCUUCCCAGCCAGGAGCAACCGGGGCCAGAGCCUGCGAUGGGCACCGAGCCCAUGGGAAGGAGAUGAGGGCACUGGGUCCCAUGGACCGAGGGGUCCUGGGAGGUGGUGCUCCGAGGGCUGCAGUGAUCCCCUCGGGACUGAGCCACCCCAGCUCCCCCCUCCUGCCCCGUCCCCCUGGUCCUGUGGGGCUGCAGAGCUGCUGCUGGGCAGUGCCCGGUGGGGUUUGUCCCCCAGGGAGCCGGAGUAUGGCCCCCCAGGGGCAUCUGUCCCUGGGCAGCAGUGAGGGGCCCCAAGGCAAGUGGCACUUCCCUGCUUCCCUCUUAUUUAUUUCCGUUGGGUGCCGCGGGGCCGGGAAGGGGAAGGGCCAGGAUUCGGAAGUGCUUCCUCUGUUCUCUUCCGUUUUGGUGUGAAAUAAAGCGAUGUAAAGAUGAGGCA
This is an RNA transcript of Strigops habroptila (Kakapo), 4357 nucleotides long. It is a transcript of the gene named phosphatidylinositol transfer protein membrane associated 1, with no coding region annotated. The transcript has 23 exons. NCBI's taxonomy places the organism in Eukaryota, Metazoa, Chordata, Aves, Psittaciformes, Psittacidae. The record is from RefSeq and is a predicted model, not a curated record.